UGGGGAAUAUUUGCACAAUGGGCGGAAGCCUGAUGCAGCGACGCCGCGUGGGGGAUGAAGGCCUUCGGGUUGUAAACUCCUUUCGACAGGGACGAAGCGUAAGUGACGGUACCNGUAUAAGAAGCACCGGCUAACUACGUGCCAGCAGCCGCGGUAAUACGUAGGGUGCGAGCGUUGUCCGGAAUUACUGGGCGUAAAGAGCUCGUAGGUGGUUUGUCGCGUCGUCUGUGAAAUUCCGGGGCUUAACUCCGGGCGUGCAGGCGAUACGGGCUGACUUGAGUGCUGUAGGGGAGACUGGAAUUCCUGGUGUAGCGGUGAAAUGCGCAGAUAUCAGGAGGAAUACCGAUGGCGAAGGCAGGUCUCUGGGCAGUAACUGACGCUGAGGAGCGAAAGCAUGGGUAGCGAACAGGAUUAGAUACCCUGGUAGUCCAUGCCGUAAACGGUGGGCGCUAGGUGUAGGGGGCUUCCACGUCUUCUGUGCCGUAGCUAACGCAUUAAGCGCCCCGCCUGGGGAGUACNNAAGCAAGGCUA
RNAcentral lists this ribosomal RNA (531 nucleotides) under uncultured bacterium. Its description in RNAcentral is "bacterial SSU rRNA". It matches the Rfam family "Bacterial small subunit ribosomal RNA", at positions 355 to 896 of the family's 1533-position model. The record is from RNAcentral.